UACGAAGGUCCCGAGCGUUGUUCGGAAUCACUGGGCGUAAAGGGAGCGUAGGCGGUUUGGUAAGUCAGAUGUGAAAUCCCAGGGCUCAACCCUGGAACUGCAUCCGAUACUGCCAUAACUUGAGUAAUGGAGGGGUAGCUGGAAUUCUCGGUGUAGCAGUGAAAUGCGUGGAUAUCGAGAGGAACACUCGUGGCGAAGGCGAGCUACUGGACAUUUACUGACGCUGAGGCUCGAAGGCCAGGGUGGCGAAAGGG
This 254-nucleotide ribosomal RNA is filed under the name uncultured bacterium. RNAcentral's name for it is "partial 16S ribosomal RNA". It matches the Rfam family "Bacterial small subunit ribosomal RNA", at positions 524 to 776 of the family's 1533-position model. The record is from RNAcentral.